This 428-nucleotide ribosomal RNA is filed under the name uncultured Chlamydiae bacterium. Its description in RNAcentral is "bacterial SSU rRNA". It matches the Rfam family "Bacterial small subunit ribosomal RNA", at positions 958 to 1385 of the family's 1533-position model. Lineage: Bacteria; Pseudomonadati; Chlamydiota; Chlamydiia. The record is from RNAcentral.
AACGCGAAGAACCUUACCUGGGCUCGAAAUGUAGAGGACGUGUACAGAGAUGUCCAUUCCCGAAAGGGUCUCUAUAUAGGUGCUGCAUGGCUGUCGUCAGCUCGUGCCGUGAGGUGUUUGGUUAAGUCCAGCAACGAGCGCAACCCUUAUCGUUAGUUGCCAGCGAGUCAAGUCGGGAACUCUAACGAGACUGCCUGGGUUAACCAGGAGGAAGGUGAGGAUGACGUCAAGUCCGCAUGGCCUUUAUGUCCAGGGCUACACACGUGCUACAAUGGUCGGUACAGAAGGCAGCAGAGUCGUGAGGCGAAGCAAAUCCUAUAAAACCGAUCUCAGUUCAGAUUGUAGUCUGCAACUCGGCUACAUGAAGUUGGAAUUGCUAGUAAUGGCGUGUCAGCAACAACGCCGUGAAUACGUUCCCGGGCCUUGUA